RNAcentral lists this long non-coding RNA (364 nucleotides) under Phoenix dactylifera (date palm). RNAcentral's name for it is "long non-coding RNA (PDAC_LNC012255)". The record is from RNAcentral. Lineage: Eukaryota; Viridiplantae; Streptophyta; Magnoliopsida; Arecales; Arecaceae.
UUUAAGAAAGUCAAAUCAUUAAAUAUAUAUAAGCCAAACAAUUGAGUGCAUGACAUGAAGGCUUAUAUAAUUCCAAAUGAAAGGGAGAGCUUUAACUCCAAAAUUUAUUGUUUCACACCUUUCAAGCUUGGAUAAAUUAAAUAACCAGACACUUGAAUUCAUUUAUAGAUCGUAUUUCCUUGUUUAUUGAGCAAUUCACUUUACAUAUACUCAAUAUUUUGUCAUCAUCAAAAAGGGGGAGAUUGUGGAGUGAUUGAUUAAAACCCUAUUUGAUUUUGAUGAGCUCAAAGCAUUUGAGUAUAUCUUUUGUUUACUAAUGAAUUCAAUUGAGUGUUUCAGUGGAAAUCUUGUCUAAGUGUUUCUA